RNAcentral lists this ribosomal RNA (586 nucleotides) under uncultured bacterium. Its description in RNAcentral is "bacterial SSU rRNA". It matches the Rfam family "Bacterial small subunit ribosomal RNA", at positions 338 to 916 of the family's 1533-position model. The record is from RNAcentral.
CCUACGGGAGGCAGCAGUGGGGAAUUGUUCGCAAUGGGCGAAAGCCUGACGACGCAACGCCGCGUGGAGGAUGAAGGUCUUCGGAUUGUAAACUCCUGUUGCUCGGGACGAAUAGCUUCAACCUAAUACGUUGAGGUCUGACGGUACCGAGUGAGGAAGCCCCGGCUAACUCUGUGCCAGCAGCCGCGGUAAUACAGAGGGGGCAAGCGUUGUUCGGAAUUACUGGGCGUAAAGGGCGCGUAGGCGGCCCGCUAAGUCGAACGUGAAAUCCCCGGGCUCAACCCGGGAACUGCGUCCGAUACUGGUGGGCUUGAAUCCGGGAGAGGGAUGUGGAAUUCCAGGUGUAGCGGUGAAAUGCGUAGAUAUCUGGAGGAACACCGGUGGCGAAGGCGGCAUCCUGGACCGGCAUUGACGCUGAGGCGCGAAAGCCAGGGGAGCAAACGGGAUUAGAUACCCCGGUAGUCCUGGCCCUAAACGAUGAAUGCUUGGUGUGGCGGGUAUCGAUCCCUGCCGUGCCGAAGCUAACGCAUUAAGCAUUCCGCCUGGGGAGUACGGUCGCAGGCUGAAACUCGAAAGGAAUUGACGG